Molecule: long non-coding RNA, 1100 nt
Filed under: Marmota monax (woodchuck)
Lineage: Eukaryota; Metazoa; Chordata; Mammalia; Rodentia; Sciuridae
Source: RNAcentral
CAGAGACUCAGGAGGCUGAGGCAGGAGAAUCACAAGUUGGAGGCCAGCCUCAACAACUUAAUGAGGACUUAAGAAACUUAGUGAGAACAUGUCUCAAAAGAAAAAGAAAAGAAAGACCGAAAAAAAAUUCUUUUAUUACUGGUUUUCAUCAGGUUGACUAUAUAAUGUGCUUUGGCAUCUUGCUAGGGGUUGUUAAGAAUUCUGGGUUCGUGGCUUUAUAGAUUUUCACCAAAUUUGAAAAAUGUUGUCAUUAUUUCUUCAAGUGUUUUUUUCUGCCUUCACUCCUCCCUUUCUGAGAAUCCAACUAAACAAAUGUUCAACUACAGAAUAUUGUCCCACAGGUCACAAGGUUCUAUUCCCUUUCGUGUGUGUGUGUGUGUGUGUGUGUUAUAUCCAGUUUCUCUAGUUGUUUGCAUUGGGAAAAUCAGCAUGUUCAAAACAACUGUAUUACAGCUAGAAGCAGAAUCCCUGAUGAUCUUUGCACCAGGCUUUACUGCAAGUAGGUCAGAACUGAAGAGCCAGUUGCAAAGAGCUGGAAUGCCCAAAGCACAUGCAGACAGGAUGCGGGUCUGGGCAGUGGUCUCAUCUCCCCAGUAGACUCAGACCCACUCAGGAGUCUCGGCGAUCUGACUAGUCAGUCUAGGAAUGCAUGUUGGAUAAGUAAUUUUACUCUUGGGGAGACUUUGAGCUAGAUACUAAGCUGCUUUCCAUACCUGUGAAGUAGGGAGCAGGACACCCACCUUUGGCUGGUGUGGGAAUUAAAGUGUGGCUAAUGUGUGUGAAGCAGGGAGCACCGGCCAGCCAUGAGGAAACAGGUGGCAGUGGUGGCAUUGAUGCUGUCGUUGAAAUCACUGGGUCUCCGUCCUUAGCAUUUUGCAGACACCAACCACUGGGAAGGGCUGAUAGGCUGUGGCCUGGCUCCCGAGCUGUCAGAAAGAACCCUGGGUGGAGGCACGGGGAACUGCUUGUCCCAUCCCAGAAAGGGCUGCCCUCCCAGCCCAGGGCGGUGUGCAGCCUCUGGGCAGGAGCAGAGCAGUCCCAGGAUGGCAGUCCAGGUUGGGCUUGGCGCUGCUCCCCAGGCACUGCUGGCUGAGUCUUGC